Molecule: ribosomal RNA, 320 nt
Filed under: uncultured Spirochaetota bacterium
Lineage: Bacteria; Pseudomonadati; Spirochaetota
Description: bacterial SSU rRNA
Rfam family: Bacterial small subunit ribosomal RNA
Source: RNAcentral
GACGAACGCUGGCGGCGUGGAUUAGGCAUGCAAGUUGAACGGUAGGAUCCUUUCGGGGAUCUGAGAGUAGCGAACGGGUGAGUAACGCGUAGGUGAUCUACCUUCAAGUGGGGGACAACCCAGGGAAACCUGGGCUAAUACCGCAUGUGGCAGUAAUGCUAAAGCCGGCCUCUGAAUAUGCUGGUGCUUGGAGAUGAGCCUGCGUCUGAUUAGCUAGUUGGUGGGGUAAUGGCCUACCAAGGCGAUGAUAAGUAGGCGGCUUUAACGAGUGGUCGCCCACACUGGGAUUGAGAUACGGCCCAGACUCCUACGGGAGGCAG